RNAcentral lists this ribosomal RNA (433 nucleotides) under uncultured bacterium. Its description in RNAcentral is "partial 16S ribosomal RNA". It matches the Rfam family "Bacterial small subunit ribosomal RNA", at positions 29 to 507 of the family's 1533-position model. The record is from RNAcentral.
AACGAACGCUGGCGGCAUGCCUAACACAUGCAGGUCGAACGAGACCUUCGGGUCUAGUGGCGCACGGGUGCGUAACGCGGGGGAACCUGCCCUUAGGUUCGGAAUAACUCCCCGAAAGGGGUGCUAAUACCGGAUAAUGUCUUCGGACCAAAGAUUUAUCGCCUUUGGAUGGGCCCGCGUUGGAUUAGCUAGUUGGUAGGGUAAAAGCCUACCAAGGCGACGAUCCAUAGCUGGUCUGAGAGGAUGAUCAGCCACACUGGGACUGAGACACGGCCCAGACUCCUACGGGAGGCAGCAGUGGGGAAUAUUGGACACUGGGCGAAAGCCUGAUCCAGCAAUGCCGCGUGAGUGAUGAAGGCCUUAGGGUUGUAAAGCUCUUUUACCCGGGAUGAUAAUGACAGUACCGGGAGAAUAAGCUCCGGCUAACUCCGUG